Molecule: long non-coding RNA, 354 nt
Filed under: Cricetulus griseus (Chinese hamster)
Lineage: Eukaryota; Metazoa; Chordata; Mammalia; Rodentia; Cricetidae
Description: lncRNA (ENSCGRG00015042435.1)
Source: RNAcentral
AGCACGGAUCAGAAGUGAACUGUUCUACUACACAUCUGUUUUGCCUAACUUAAAGCAGCCAGCCUCUUCAUGAGCACAGAGCAGAGAAAUGAAAUCUGCAUUACCUCUAAGUGAAGAUCGUCGUAUAGAACGCAAGCUUCCAUGGAAACUUCAGGAACAUAAAAGGAAAUGUUCUGACGGUAAUUUCAGAGAUCUGUCCCUGUGCAUAGAUUUAACGGAGGCAUGUCACCUUGAAACCUGACAAGUCUCUGGGGAUUUACACAUGCUUACGGGCAAGAUGGGAGAGAAGACUUAGCCAACCGGCUGGGAGCAUGCAACACUGCCACAGAACAAGAGAGAUCCCACCUCAACAAG